This 480-nucleotide ribosomal RNA is filed under the name uncultured bacterium. Its description in RNAcentral is "bacterial SSU rRNA". It matches the Rfam family "Bacterial small subunit ribosomal RNA", at positions 53 to 507 of the family's 1533-position model. The record is from RNAcentral.
GCAUGCAAGUCGAACGAAGCACUGUCGAAUGAGGAUUCGUCUGAAUUUGGCUUUGACUUAGUGGCGGACGGGUGAGUAAUGCGUGAGCAACCUGCCUUUCAGAGGGGGACAACAGUUGGAAACGACUGCUAAUACCGCAUGACAUAUUGAGAUCGCAUGGUGAGAUUAUCAAAGAUUUAUCACUUAGAGAUGGGCUCGCGUCUGAUUAGCUAGAUGGUGAGGUAACGGCCCACCAUGGCGACGAUCAGUAGCCGGACUGAGAGGUUGAACGGCCACAUUGGGACUGAGACACGGCCCAGACUCCUACGGGAGGCAGCAGUGGGGAAUAUUGCACAAUGGGCGAAAGCCUGACGGAGCAACGCCGCGUGAGUGAAGAAGGUCUUCGGAUCGUAAAGCUCUGUUGUCGGGGACGAAUGUUGAGACUUAGAACAUAAGUUUCAAAUGACGGUACCUGACGAGGAAGCCACGGCUAACUACGUG